GCUCUCUCAGGAUCGCGCCUGGAGAGUUUCCAGUAUUCUACCAGUCUCAGCUAUGGGAGGGAGAGUCAAGCAGAGGCAUAGCCAUUCCAUUCCUAGCUUGGGCAGCGGCUAGCGAGUGGAAAGCAAUCUGCUAAAUGU
RNAcentral lists this small nucleolar RNA (138 nucleotides) under Ornithorhynchus anatinus (platypus). Lineage: Eukaryota; Metazoa; Chordata; Mammalia; Monotremata; Ornithorhynchidae. The record is from RNAcentral.